UCCGGGUGCAGUGGAUCGUGCCUGUAGUCCCAGCUACUCGGGAGGCUGAGGUGGGAGGAUCGCUUGAGCCCAGGAGUUCUGGGCGGUAGUGCGCUAUGCCGAUCAGGUGUCCGCAUUAAGUUCGACAUCAAUAUGGUGACCUCCCGGGAGCAGUGGACCACCAGGUUGCCUAAGGAGGGGUGAACCGGCCCAGGUCAGAAACAGAGCAGGUCAAAACUCCCGUGCUGAUCAGUAGUGGGAUCGCGCCUGUGAAUAGCCACUGCACUCCAGCCUGAGCAAUAUAGUAAGACCCCGUCUCU
RNAcentral lists this signal recognition particle RNA (299 nucleotides) under Saimiri boliviensis boliviensis (Bolivian squirrel monkey). Its description in RNAcentral is "Metazoan signal recognition particle RNA (ENSSBOG00000008675.1)". It matches the Rfam family "Metazoan signal recognition particle RNA". Rfam says of the family: The signal recognition particle (SRP) is a universally conserved ribonucleoprotein. Lineage: Eukaryota; Metazoa; Chordata; Mammalia; Primates; Cebidae. The record is from RNAcentral.